RNAcentral lists this transfer RNA (26 nucleotides) under Tridactyle cf. gentilii MSD-2018. RNAcentral's name for it is "partial tRNA-Leu". RNAcentral also lists the same sequence under 1 other name. Lineage: Eukaryota; Viridiplantae; Streptophyta; Magnoliopsida; Asparagales; Orchidaceae. The record is from RNAcentral.
UUCAAGUCCCUCUAUCCCCAUCCCCA